RNAcentral lists this ribosomal RNA (902 nucleotides) under uncultured archaeon. RNAcentral's name for it is "bacterial SSU rRNA". It matches the Rfam family "Archaeal small subunit ribosomal RNA", at positions 21 to 903 of the family's 1478-position model. The record is from RNAcentral.
CCCCACUGCUAUCGAGGUGGGACUUAGCCAGGACAGUCGAACGACUCGGACUAUGGCGAGAAGUGGCAAACUGCUCAGUAACACGUAGCUAACCUACCCUCAGGACGGAGACAACCCCGGGAAACUGGGGUUAAUCCCCGAUAGGCGUGGAUUCCUGGAAUGGUGUCACGCCGAAACGUUAACACACCAUGUUUGUGUACACGCCUGAGGAUGGGGCUGCGGCCGAUCAGGCAGUUGGUGAGGUAACGGCUCACCAAACCUUUGACCGGUACGGGCCGUGAGAGCGGUAGCCCGGAGAUGGACACUGAGACAAGGGUCCAGGACCUACGGGUCGCAGCCGGUACGAAACCUCCACAAUGCACGAAAGUGCGAUGGGGUUACCUCGAGUGCCGUCUGAAGAAGGCGGCUUUUCCAUUGUGUAAUGAGCCGUGGGAAUAAGGGGGGGGCAAGACUGGUGUCAGCCGCCGCGGUAACACCAGCCCCCCGAGUGGUGGGGAUGUUUAUUUGGCCUAAAACGUCCGUAGCCAGCUAGGUAAAUCUCUCGUUAAAUCCAGCGUCCUAAGCGUUGGGCUGCGAGAGAGACUGCCAAGCUAGAGGGUGGGAGAGGUCAGCGGUAUUUCUGGGGUAGGGGCGAAAUCCAUUGAUCCCAGGAGGACCACCAGUGGCGAAGGCUGCUGACUAGGACACGCCUGACGGUGAGGGACGAAAGCUGGGGUAGCGAAUCGGAUUAGAUACCCGAGUAGUCCCAGCCGUAAACGAUGCGGGCUAGGUGUUGGGUUGGCCACGUGCCGACUCAGUGCCACAGGGAAGCCAUUAAGCCUGCUGCCUGGGGAGUACGGUCGCAAGGCUGAAACUUAAAGGAAUUGGCGGGAGAGCACCACCAGGCGUGAAGCCUGCGGUUU